UAGCGGGUGGAAGUCAGCCAGAGCCAUGUAGCAUGGAUGGCAGGGGGUAUUGGAAACGUUGCCUUCUGAAGCCCAUCGACAAAGUCUGCAAUAAGGCAGGCGAGCAACUAUCCGGGUUGUAACGAAC
This is a non-coding RNA of Candidatus Brocadia, 127 nucleotides long. The record is from Rfam. Lineage: Bacteria; Pseudomonadati; Planctomycetota; Candidatus Brocadiia; Candidatus Brocadiales; Candidatus Brocadiaceae.